UACGUAGGGUGCAAGCGUUGUCCGGAAUUAUUGGGCGUAAAGAGCUCGUAGGCGGUUUGUCACGUCGGAUGUGAAACCCUGAGGCUCAACCUCAGGCCUGCAUUCGAUACGGGCAGACUAGAAUUCGGCAGGGGAGACUGGAAUUCCUGGUGUAGCGGUGAAAUGCGCAGAUAUCAGGAGGAACACCGGUGGCGAAGGCGGGUCUCUGGGCCGAUACUGACGCUGAGGAGCGAAAGCGUGGGGAGCGAACAGG
RNAcentral lists this ribosomal RNA (253 nucleotides) under uncultured bacterium. RNAcentral describes it as "partial 16S ribosomal RNA". It matches the Rfam family "Bacterial small subunit ribosomal RNA", at positions 524 to 776 of the family's 1533-position model. The record is from RNAcentral.